AGGUGCGGCAAGGCGGCCGCGCGCCGGCCCCCGGGUCGGCGUGAGGAAAGUCCGAGCACGGCAGGACACGGUGGUGGGUCAUUCCCACCCGCCCGAACAGGCCCGGCAGGGUGUGGUCGCGGGCGAGGGAAAGUGCCACAGAAAACACACCGCCGAUGGCCCGCAAGGGCACAGGUAAGGGUGAAAAGGUGCGGUAAGAGCGCACCGCCCGGUUGGUGACAACCGGGGCACGGUAAACCCCACCGCGUGCAAGCCCAAGCAGAGCCCCGGGGCUUCGGCCCCGUCCCUGGUCCGGGGAUCGCGGGUUCGGGUAGGGUGCAGGGGAGCGUGCUCCCCCACUCACGCCGGAAACGGCGCGGGUGAGAGAAAUGGUCGCCCACGGUCGAAGGUCUCGCCCAGAGCCCCCGUCAAGGCGGGCGGGAAACCACGAUCGGGACAGAACUCGGCUUACCAGCCGCGCCCGACC
Molecule: RNase P RNA, 466 nt
Filed under: Planctomycetota bacterium
Lineage: Bacteria; Pseudomonadati; Planctomycetota
Description: Planctomycetes bacterium RNase P RNA component class A
Rfam family: Bacterial RNase P class A
About the family: Ribonuclease P (RNase P) is a ubiquitous endoribonuclease, found in archaea, bacteria and eukarya as well as chloroplasts and mitochondria. Its best characterised activity is the generation of mature 5'-ends of tRNAs by cleaving the 5'-leader elements of precursor-tRNAs.
Source: RNAcentral